CAAGACCCCAAAACCAGGGCUGUAAUCAAGCUCCAAAGAAAGUGAGCUAACGUGUUCGCCGACGACACCACUGUUGUUGGACGAAUUACAGAUGGUGAUGAGUCGGAGUAGGGAAGUGCGGUGGACCGAUUGACCAAAUGUUGCCAGCACAACAACCUGGCUCUCAAUAUCAGUAAAACCAAGGAACUGAUUGUGGACUUUGGAAGAAGAAGGAUGAGGACCCACAAUCCUGUUUAUAUUAGUUGGACAAUGGUGGAGAGUGUCAAAAAACUCAAAUUCCUGGGGGUGCAGAUUUCAGAAGAUCUUUCCUGGACCCAGCACACUGAUGCAAUUAUAAAGCACAUCAGCGUCUCUACAGAUGUACAGUAGAGAGCAUGCAUCAUGGCCUGGUUGGGAAACUUGAGCGGAAAAGACUGCGAAAAGUUGUAAAUACAGUCCAGUCCAUCACCGACUCUGACCUCCCCACCAUCGACGAGAUUUAUCGGAGUCGCUGCCUCAAAAAGGCAGCUAACAUCAUCAGAGACACCCACAGCAUCCUGGCCACACACCCUGCCAUUUCACCACUGCCAUUGGGAAGAAGGUACAGGAGCCUGAAAACUGUAACUUCCAGGUCCAGGAACAGCAUCUUCCCUUCAGCCAUCACGACAACAAAUAAGCUUUGAACUACAACUGACUAUUAUUAUUGCACAAUAAUUGUUUGUUUGUUUUUCGAGCAUGUGUGUGUGUGUGUAUAUAUACACACUGAACUUUUUUUCCUCUCGAUUAUGUACUAUAUUUACAUAUUCUGUUGUGGCUGCAGCAAGUAAGAAUGUCAUUGUUCUAUCUGGGGCAUGUGACAAUAAAACUCUCUUGACGGGCACGGUGGACCCACCUUGAUUACGGCUUUAAAUUGUAAGAGGACGCCUUUUGUGCAGCGUUUGCAGUGCCGACGUCAGGCUCCGGACAAGAUCCGGGGCGCAGUUUGUGGGUGAGCUGGGAGCUGCGGGAGGGAACCUGACCGGUUUCCUGUGCCGGGAGCAGUAGGGCAGGUGGAGGCGACUCCCUCUCGCUGCCGCAGCGAGGCGGCCCAGGGCGCUGAGUAGCAAUGGGAGCAGGAAGUUCGGGGGUGGAGGAAAGGACAUAACCUGUUUCCGAGCUGAGAGCCAAGGAGGGCUAAGGCAACGAGCCCCCCCUCCUCUUGCUUGUUCUGAUUCCUCAAAACCCGGGAGAGCAACUCCGUCCAUUCAGCAUGGACGGUGUGAGCAGAGAAUGGAGGGAGGUGCAGCGACUGAAAGGUAGGACAGAGAAAGCCCAGCGAGCGUCGUGAACUCAUGCACAAACUCAACGGGUGAGUGUAGAUCAGUCACGCCUCAGUGGAACGAGGAGACAAAAUCGCUAUUUAACUCGAAUUAGAGAACCGUUUUUGUUAUGGUUACACACAACCUAUUACUUGACAAUAAAACACCUGCAAGAAGUUAUAAAGUGAGGGAACUUUAGAACGGAAUGUUAGUCCAAGUUCGGGGUGCAGUUCCAGGCGGUGUGCGAUAAAAGACGGGCUUUCAGUGCUCUGCCUUUCCAGCUCUUGCCUCACCGGGGAUUCAGCUCUGCGUUGCCACACCAUGGAUCGAUGCAAUGCGUCUCAGUUGCGCCAGCGAUUGUUUGGUGUUGCAGGGAACAUCGAGGCUGUGAGGAGAUGUAAUACAUGGUGAUUUACUGUCCAGGAUAUGGAUACCAUUAGAGAUUAGCGUUCUACCUUCCAUGGUCGAAACAUUACGAGGACCCAACAUACCUGGCAGAAAAUUACGGAUGUUGUGGGCUUGGAUUCAAAACUUCUCAGAUUGAGGAUAAAGUUGGCAAACAACUUCAGACUGGAGAAGCGUGGCCAAGAUCCCGUGUCAUCCCGGCAAACCAGGGUGAUGAUGAUGAAAAACGUGCUUUGCAAGAUGACUGCAGCUUGUCAAGGUCUCCAGAACCUAACAUCAUCUUGGAUAAAGAAGUUGGAUUGAUCUGCAUCUAAUUCUCACACUUAUAAAUCAUUCCCACCAUCACUGGCACAACUGGCUGAGUCCUGUAUGAUCUCCACAUUUCCCCGCGCAAGGCUUUUUCCACAGCAUCUUGCAAACCCGCAACCUCUACCAUCUGCAAGGAAUUGAAGAAGGUGCAGGUGCAUUUCAGCGGCUGACAAUUCCUAAGUCACAGCAUUUUUAAUUGGAAAUAUAUUGGCAUUCCAUCAUUGUUUGCCGAGUAAAAACCCUAAAAUGCACUGUGAUGAUUAUUGUUGGAGAUACCUUAAUUAAAGGACUGCAGUGGCUCAAGAAGGCAGCUUACCACUAAGGGGUGUGCAUUGAAUGCUGGCCCUGCUUGGAUUGCCUACAUCCUGGAAAUUAAUUAUAUAAAUAUAAAGAUAUCACAUUUUAUUCACACUUUCUUAUUUGUGAAUCAUAAAACGGCUUGUUAAAAAUUCUAAAACAACUGUUUUAUCCUAAAUCCUAAAUGUUAAAUCCUAAAACAAUCUUGUGAAGAUAUUCAUUUUUCAAAUGUCAACCACUCCUCGCUUAUAUAUAUCUUCAAAAUAUUGGCCACUUUUCAUUCAUGUGAACAAGAUCCUCCUUCGCCUUAGUCUUUCAAUCACUCAUCCACUCUUUUUCACCAUGGUUACAAUAGAUUACAAAUGACAAAAUAUCCACAUGGGUAAUUAUUACAUUUUAUGAAUCGUAUAUUCUGUUCAGAUGUCAGAGUCUCCGCGCAGCACUUUUACAUUCGUUAAGAGCUGGAGGGAAGGCAAGAUAUUGGCAUAGCAGUUGUGUUCAUAACCUGCUAUGCCUACAUACUGCCAUCUUUCCUGUCUGAGUGCAGCCAAGGCGUGCAGUUUUCAGUCUCUGCAAGAACCUGGUCAUCAAUAAUAACCUCAUCACUUCCAGACUUUUUUAACGGAAAAUGGGCAAUGAAAUAGGAGAUUGUGAAACAUAACACUGAAUAUUCCUAUAUUCUUGAAUGCGACCAAAUUCACGGGGUUGCUUAGAGUACAUGCUGUAAAAGUUUACUUUGCAUUAUAUAGUCUUACAAACAAUUAAACUCCAUUCCAUAACAAUGAAACGUAUUUUCAUUGCGUCCAGAAAGAAAUGAUUGUUUCCCCAGUUCUGUUCCAUCUAUUGCGAGCUGUCCUUCUCGACGUGUUUAAGGACCCAAGAACACUGCAAGUGCUGUAGAAAUAAUUGCUCAGGUUGAGGCAGAUCUGUUGUUUUUCUGUGCUUGACAGCAGAGUGAGAAAGUCAUCCAGAAGAUUGUAGCCAUUCACAGUUCACAAGUAUUCAUCUUCUCAAGUUGCUGAACAACUCGCACUUGAAUAAUGGUGGGGAUUUUGACCUAUUGAUGCAUACAUUGUAUAGCACACAAUGACUUUCACAGCAAACUUAGGACUAUGACUAAAUACAAUCCGUGCUUUAGCUUUUUCUCAUUUGUUGAAUGAACCAAAAAUUGCAAAAUGUUUUGCUUCAACUUAUUGUAGUACAAUGAAAGAAUUUGAGUGUUAUUUGCACCAGUGCAAUGAUGCAGGCUGUGAGCGGAGUGUGGUGGGCAACUACGCACACUGAAAUCGUGCUAUCAACCGUAAUUUUACUCAUUUGUUUUUUUGACGUAAUAUUGAUGAUUGAAAUUGACAGAAACCUUCUGCAAAUUUCAGGGGCAUUAACAAAUUAGAGUCAAACAUAGGCACAGGUCCAAAAAAGGGUCUCGACCGAAAAUAUCACCUAUCCAUGUUCUCCAGAGAUGUUGCAUGUUCCACUGUGUUAUUCCAGGAUUUUGUGUCCUUUAAAGUCAAACACAGCAUGGAUGCCCUUAAAAUACAGCUUUAAUUCCACUUUUAUGAGAUUUUAAGAGAUCAGCAACAUAAGAGUGGUGACAAAUAAGCAGACCACAGUUCUGAGCUGCCCUGCUCAGUUUACAUUGGAUUGAGUGCAAUCUGAGUCGUAACAAGGACUGCUGAGGCACAAUAUAGCUUCUUUUUAAUAU
This is a long non-coding RNA of Leucoraja erinaceus (little skate), 3990 nucleotides long. RefSeq lists it as uncharacterized. Lineage: Eukaryota; Metazoa; Chordata; Chondrichthyes; Rajiformes; Rajidae. The transcript has 3 exons. The record is from RefSeq and is a predicted model, not a curated record.